AUCUAAUCUCUAUUACCUCCUAUGACCAGACGGCUUGGUGACAAACUCGAUCCGAUUACUUCGCUACUCAGAUCAUCUAAUCAAAAUAAUUUAGAUCUAAUCUAAAUUAUUUUAGAUCUGAUUAUUAUAUUUUGAUCAUAUCAAAAUUAGAUAAUAAUCAUCAUAAAAAUCAUAUACUUCAAAUUAAAAUCAGAUUUUAUAAAAAUCAACAUAAAAUAGAAUAACCUUUGCAUUGUAAGAGGUAAACCUUACAGCAGAACAACCUUAUAUCAGUUUGUGCUACC
Molecule: long non-coding RNA, 284 nt
Filed under: Elaeis guineensis (African oil palm)
Lineage: Eukaryota; Viridiplantae; Streptophyta; Magnoliopsida; Arecales; Arecaceae
Description: long non-coding RNA (EGUI_LNC035321)
Source: RNAcentral